UAAAAAAAAUUACUUUUAUUUAUAUCAGAGGUUCGUUUUACAUUUUCAUUUCCUUGUGCAUGCACUGAGGUGAUGGCAUAGGGAAAGCACAGUAUAAAGGGAGAGAUGUCUGUGAGGCUCAUUCAAUAUGAAAUGGGCAGGAAAGGACCAUGUUCCAAUGUGGCUGACACACAGCAGUCAACCUUAUGACUAUUUUUUUUUCUUUCCAGAUAAAAUAACUUGGAAAAUGAAAAAAGAAGUAAGUCACCCACAAUCCUAUUUCAGAAAUAAUCAUUAGCAUUUAUAAUUAAUAAUAAAUUUUUUUCCUUUUCCUUUUUUUGGGGGGCAGGGUAAGUGAAUUGAACCCAGAGAUACCCUACCAUUGAACUAUAUCCCCAGCCCUUUUUAUUUUUUAUUUGAGACAGAAUUUGGCUAAGUUGCCCAGCCCGGAACUUGCCAUCCUUCUGCCUUGGCCUCCCAAGUAGCUUAGCCCAGCCAAUAAUAAAUUUCUGAUUCAGACGUAUUCUUUCAAUCUUAUUUUUCUCUACAUAAGGGUGAUACCAUUUAUAUCACUGGGAUAUUUUAUAAUUGCCUUGUUUGCUUGCUUGUUUUGGUACUGGGAGUAAAAUCCAGGGCCUUGUGCAAGCUGAGGCGAGUGCUCUGCUCCUGAGCUACAUCCCCAGAUCUUUUUAUUUUGAGAUAGGGUCUUACUAAGUUGCCCAGGCUGACCUGGGAUUUGUGGUCCUCCUGCCUCAGUUUCCAGAGUACCUGGGAUUGCCGAACCCAGUUGUAUCCCACUGUUUUCAGUUACACUAUUCCAUGUAAUUAAAAAAUAUAUAAAAACCUUUCUAAUAUGUACAUAAUAACAUUUGGUGGUAUGGCUAUAACCUUGUUUACCUAUCCAGACUCCCAUGGUUAGCCUAUAAGUCACUACCAAGUACUAUGGCUAAUUAAGAAGUAUCCCCCAAAGGAUUAUGUGUUGAAGGCCUGAUCCCCAAUGCAGCGAUGUUCAGAGGUGGGCCUUUGGGAAGUGACUGGAUUAUGAGGGCUCUGAUCUUAUCUGUGGAUUGAUCCAUUUAUGGCUUCAUAAUUUAAAUGGACUUUUGGGAGAUGAUGAAAACCAUAGGAGUUGGGACCUAAUUGAAGAGACUGGGUUCUUGGGGAUGUGGUUGUCCACAGGCCCCCUUCUUCUUUCUCUCUGCUUCCUGACUACCAUGAGGAGAACAGCUUUGCUCUGCCACACCCUUCUGCCAUGGUGAACUGCCUCAUCACAGGCCCAGGAACAGUGGAGCCAGCCAACCAUUGACUGAAACCAUAAGCCAAAAUAGAUCUUUCCUUUAAGUUGAUUUUUCAGGUGUUUUGUCACAGCAAUGAAAAACUAAUACACCAAGCUUUUGUAAUGGAAAAUAGUUCUAUGAUUAACAUUUUUGUACCCUAAUCUUUGUCUGAGUCUCUGAUUUUUAACUCAAGUGAAAUAGCUCACAUAUCCCAGGUUCUGGAUUCAUAUUACUGAAAUCCUUCCUAAGAGAGUGCUACUUUAGGGCCGGGGUUGUGGCUCAGUGGUAGCGUGCUCACCUAGCACGUGCAAGGCCCUGGGUUCCAUUCUCAGCACCACAUAAGUAAACAAAAUAAAGAUAUUGUGUCCAACUACAACUAAAAAAAUAAAUAUUAAAAGAAAA
RNAcentral lists this long non-coding RNA (1658 nucleotides) under Marmota monax (woodchuck). Lineage: Eukaryota; Metazoa; Chordata; Mammalia; Rodentia; Sciuridae. The record is from RNAcentral.